This 571-nucleotide long non-coding RNA is filed under the name Hordeum vulgare. RNAcentral describes it as "long non-coding RNA (HVUL_LNC009974)". Lineage: Eukaryota; Viridiplantae; Streptophyta; Magnoliopsida; Poales; Poaceae. The record is from RNAcentral.
UCCGCCGUUCCUCCGCCAUCUCUCGGCGGGCCGGCUAUCCCGCUGUCGGCUGGCGCCCAGCCGGAAGCUCCUCCCUCCCUCCUCGUCGGCGAUGCUAGAAGGGUUCCACUGCGAUAGGCGGCGCAUCCACAAUACGCACACCAUCUUCGUCGUCAUCCCUCCAGUCCUUCAAGAUCACAUCGGGGCAGGACUGACCGGCUGGCCUAGACCCGCCAGCCGCGGGUCGGCCGGUGCCUCCACCUCAUCCUCCUCCUCUGCUUCCAGCACCUUCGAGCCCCCGGAGGCGUCGGAGUCAUAUUCGUCCAUCCCGUAAUCGAUACUGUCGGAUUCCAUGCGGUCGUCCACCUGAUUCUGCGUGUUUGGGUCGUCCGGCAUCAGGUGCCGCUAAAAAGCUAAAAAGGUAGCAGUCGACCACGCAUGAGUCGACAUGUCAGAAAAGUAAAGGAAAACAAUAGUGUCGAAACUUACCCCAAUGCGGGAAAGUUGUGGCAGAACGGCUCCUUGUCGAACCACGAGUCGUCCACCCACAGCUUGAAGCCUCUGAUGGCGUUCACCCGGGCAGAUAUCUUGG